This is a non-coding RNA of Salvia hispanica, 1887 nucleotides long. The record is from RefSeq and is a predicted model, not a curated record. Lineage: Eukaryota; Viridiplantae; Streptophyta; Magnoliopsida; Lamiales; Lamiaceae.
AUGCAACCUGAUAGAUGCUACACUCUGGUUUCCCAACUUCCCCGUGCUUCGCCAUUGCUGCUAAGGUCGCGUUAACAACCAUAUCCGCUGGAACCUAAAGCAAGUCAUUUUUUCAGUUACCGGACUUGAAGUUCCAAACAGCAUGGCUACUUACUACGUCAAGAACUCCAUUGGGGUCAACAAGGAAUCCAGUGAGCUGCCCCUUUCCGUAUUGCAAUAUGAUCGGAUCCAUCAUUCUGGUGGCCAUGGAAUGGUUCUUUGUGCGUGCUCUCGAUGACGCUGGGUCUAAUCACAACUACUGGUACAUCACCCCUUAAAUUAUCUAUCAUCAUUUCUCCCAUAGCCUUUGUGAAUACGUAUGUAUCUUGCCAUCCAAAUUUCUUAGCCCUGGAUAGAGCACACAUGUUUUCGUUAUCUUAUUAGGAAUGUAUUGACGAGAUUUUAAUAUUUCAUGAAUAAAUUGAGAUUACCUCUGCAGUCCUAAUUCUUUCAUUGCCUGAAGCAGUGAAUCAUUUCCAAGAGUUUUCUUUGCUUCCACAACUAUCUUUAUUUCAUCUUCAACGCUCAAUUUGGGAAGUAAGAUUUGAUGAUUUCCGUUAAUGGUUUCACCUGCUAUAGUUUCACCUUUGCAGAAAGGCUUUUCCAUGAUUCUGCCUUGCCUUUGUCCAUUUACAUAAGCUGUUACGAAUAUAAAAAAAAAACAUGUUUAAGUUUAGACAGGCUAGAAUGAGUUUAGGAAGUUAGUUAGAAGUUGGAUACUCUUAGGUUAGACAUUUUAUAACAUUGUUUAAGCUACUCUUUACUUGCCUGUCGAUACUUGUACGAAGAGCUUCAGUUUCAGGCAUUGUUUCGCAAAGCUCAUGAGUCGAGUCGGACCGCCUGUGUUUAUGUCAAGGGCUGUAUCAUACCUGAGAUCAUCAAAUCAUUUACUUGAAAAAUCAUCAAUAACCCUAUAAUUAGAUGAGAACAACAACUAGUAUGGAUUUCAUAACCUUUCAUCAAAAGUGGUAUUUGCUGCAGAAUUUAUGAUUACAUCAACCUCUCUAGUCAUGAACUCAGCUGCAUCUUCGUCUAAUCCGAGAUUAGUUUCGCAUACAUUCCCAACCACAGGAAUUAACUUACUCAACAUGAAAGCUUGAUAUGAUUUUCCAUGAAUUUGUUUCAAAUUCUUGAACAGCUCGGUGUUGAUGAUCUACAACAGACACACAUCUCAGAAGCUUAGGCAGGAAAAAGAAGUCUAAGAGAGAGAUACAUAUAUAUGAAAGCAAAGCUCUCCGUACUUCGUUUUUCAAUCUCUCUGCUCCAGCUUCUUUGCUCUUGGCUUUGAUCAGAACAAAUAUCUUAUGAACAUCAGGAGCCGUUCGCAGCAUUUUCUCGAUGAGAACUGAAAAUUCAUGCAAGGGACAACAGGAGGAAUUAAAUGACGUUUCUGAGAAUCUGAGAAGGUAAGGAAACAAUACCUUUGCCAAGAAAUCCAGUUGCACCAGUGAUGAGGAAGGUCUUCCCUCUUAGAAAUUUGACAAUGCCGAUACCUUCAUCCUUGCCAUUGGGGCUCAAGACUAGGCUCCCGGUUUCCAUCAACGCAGGCCCAUGAUCUUGGCUGAUCAAAGCCGACGACGUCUCUGUGAGAACCGAAGAGAUCCCAGUAGACUUGAUGGCAUGGCUACCAGUUUGGCAGCAAACCAUGCUUCUCCGCCUGCCUGUCAAAAGCCGCCUGUGGUUGAAGUUGGAAGCUUUAACUCCAUAGGAGAUGGAGGAAUUCAGAGAGAAAGCCUCCAUUGUUGCACAGGUGAAAAUUAGUAAAAAAGAAUGCAAGGUGAGAUGAAGUUCUUUUGUUGAGAAAUGGUAGGUUUGCAAAGUUAGCUACUCUUCUUUUUUUUACCCUUA